GCCGGGCGUGGUGGUGGGCACCUGUAAUCCUGGCUACUCAGGAGGCUGAGGCAGGAGAAUUGCUUGAACCCAGGAGGCAGAGAUUGCAGUGAGCUGAGAUCGUGCCACUGCACUCCAGCCUGGGUGAUAGAGCAAGACUCUGUCUCAA
This is an unclassified non-coding RNA of Pongo abelii (Sumatran orangutan), 148 nucleotides long. It matches the Rfam family "Metazoan signal recognition particle RNA". Rfam says of the family: The signal recognition particle (SRP) is a universally conserved ribonucleoprotein. It is involved in the co-translational targeting of proteins to membranes. Lineage: Eukaryota; Metazoa; Chordata; Mammalia; Primates; Hominidae. The record is from Ensembl.